GAUGGGCCAGGGGAUUCUAUGCAGUUAUGCAGACCUUUAUGGCAAAUAGACCCUUGGCAGCUCCGAGUGGGUCUUAUACCGAUGCUCCUUCUGAGGCAACAUCGGGCAUUGAUGCCCAGACAGAUGAAGCGACAGCGUAGACAGGAUCCCCUCUUUUACCCCCUUCUCUGUCAUACUUUCUGAUUUCUGGAUAUUUUUGUUUGGAUUUGAGGACAAAUGACUUUAUUUGUGGUGGGGUGAGGCCCAC
RNAcentral lists this long non-coding RNA (247 nucleotides) under Solanum tuberosum (potato). Its description in RNAcentral is "long non-coding RNA (STUB_LNC000368)". Lineage: Eukaryota; Viridiplantae; Streptophyta; Magnoliopsida; Solanales; Solanaceae. The record is from RNAcentral.